AACGAACGCUGGCGGCGUGGCUAAGGCAUGCAAGUCGAGCGGAUAUAUCCUGAUCGCAAGUGACGGAUAUAUUAGCGGCGAACGGGUGAGGAGUGCAUGGACAACGUACCCUGGACUUGGGAAUAGCGGCGGGGAAACCCUUUGCGAAAGUGCCGGUAAUACCCAAUGACCUCGCGGAAUCGCAUGGUUUUGCGAGCAAAGCUCCGACGGUCCUGGAGCGGUUCANGUCCUAUCAGCUAGUUGGUGGGUAACGGCCUACCAAGGCGGCGACGGGUAGCGGGCUGAGAGCGCGACCCGCCACAUCGGAACUGAGACACUGUCCGGACACCUACGGGUGGCUGCAG
This 344-nucleotide ribosomal RNA is filed under the name uncultured bacterium. Its description in RNAcentral is "bacterial SSU rRNA". It matches the Rfam family "Bacterial small subunit ribosomal RNA", at positions 29 to 354 of the family's 1533-position model. The record is from RNAcentral.